Molecule: ribosomal RNA, 462 nt
Filed under: uncultured bacterium
Lineage: Bacteria
Description: partial 16S ribosomal RNA
Rfam family: Bacterial small subunit ribosomal RNA
Source: RNAcentral
AUGAGCGCUGACAGAAUGCUUAACCCAUGCAAGUCGAUGGGGAAGUGGUGCUUGCACCAUGGUAACCAUGGCGGACGGGUGAGUAACGCGUAAGGAACUUGCCUGCGGGACUGGGAUAACAGCAGGAAACUGCUGAUAAUACCGGAUAAGGUCAUUAAGCUGCAUAGCUUAGUGAUGAAAGGAGACGCCUGCGGAGAGCCUUGCGUCCUAUUAGCUAGUUGGAGGGGUAACGGCCCACCAAGGCGAAGAUAGGUAGCCGGCCUGAGAGGGUGGACGGCCACAAGGGGACUGAGAUACGGCCCUUACUCCUACGGGAGGCAGCAGUGGGGAAUAUUGGACAAUGGGGGCAACCCUGAUCCAGCAAUUCUGUGUGCACGAAGACGGUUUUCGGAUUGUAAAGUGCUUUCAGCAGGGAAGAAGGAAGUGACGGUACCUGCAGAAGAAGCGACAGCUAAAUACGUG